This 76-nucleotide small RNA is filed under the name Cricetulus griseus (Chinese hamster). The record is from RNAcentral. Lineage: Eukaryota; Metazoa; Chordata; Mammalia; Rodentia; Cricetidae.
ACUAACAAGGCCCAAUCCUGCUUAGCUUCCAAGGUCAGAUGAGAUCGGGCAUGUUCAGAGUGGUAUGGCCGUAGAC